Molecule: non-coding RNA, 921 nt
Organism: Nicotiana tabacum (common tobacco)
Lineage: Eukaryota; Viridiplantae; Streptophyta; Magnoliopsida; Solanales; Solanaceae
Source: RefSeq, a predicted model, not a curated record
GUAUACCAUUUGGAGGGAGCAAAUACACAAGUUGUGAAUUUUAUUGUAAUUCAUUUUCUCUAUGUAACUAAAAAAGAUACCACUCUUAGGUGGGGCUGAACGCGAUGGAACUGAUAAUAAAUUACACAUUUGGCACUUCUUGCUUGAUCAUUCCUCUUCUUUUUGCCCGGGCAAGAGGAUCCUGAACUUUGCAAAUAUGUUCUCUCACUCACUGAUCUCCACCCCAUUUGACUAUAAAAAAGCUUUGGAAGGUUUCCUGAACUGAAAAGAUACUGCUUUUCUGAAUAGACUUUGUUCUGGAAAACAAACAUAAUUAUUUUCAGGAUAUGGAUAAAAAUACUUAGAGAUAGGAUUUCACAAAGAAUAAUAUAGAUAUUCUCUGAAACAUUUCUUCAGAAGUUAAUCUCAACGCAGAACUUUUCGAAAAAAUAUGUUUACUGCACAAGGAUAUAGUUACCUUUACGGGACACAUUCUGAUGAUAAACUUGCAAUGUGGUAACAACGUGAUGGUUUAUUAGCUACUUUCAAAACGUCAUAAUUUGUAUAUACAUGUCAUCUGAAAGUUCAUCCAUGCGUUAUUUCCAGUUAUAUUUUUCUCCUUUAGUUUGCGCCACUAGUAUGCUAAUAGUAAGCAUCUGUUUCAUUUUGACAGUUAUUUGGAGGAAGUUCUUCAGGGGAGCUGAGCAAGAAUGCAUUGAAAAACAAGAAAAAGCGGGAGAAACAACGGGAGAAAAAACAAACUGAGGGUGCUUCUGGAACUGGUGGUUCAUGAUCAGAUGCAACUUUACAGAAUGCUGUCUUUGACAAUGCAGGUCAUGAGGGGCCUAAAGCAAUAUAAGGUUUUCAUGGACCCUCAACAUACCGGAGAUUUAUUUGAUUUGGCCUAAUAUUUGUAGAAAAUAUAAAUCAAAUUUUGUUUCA